GUGUACCGGGCGCCCCGCUCCUCCUCCCAAGGGGACGCCUGCGAGAACGGCGACACUCCUCCUCCCGGUCGCUGUUCGGUUCUAUCAGGAAAAGCCUGCCGCACCUCCUCCCGCGGCGGGCUUUUUCG
Molecule: small RNA, 128 nt
Filed under: Pararhizobium antarcticum
Lineage: Bacteria; Pseudomonadati; Pseudomonadota; Alphaproteobacteria; Hyphomicrobiales; Rhizobiaceae
Description: Alphaproteobacterial ar14
Rfam family: Alphaproteobacterial ar14
About the family: Smr14C2 was renamed NfeR1 (Nodule Formation Efficiency RNA) highly expressed in salt stress and during the symbiotic interaction on legume roots.
Source: Rfam by way of RNAcentral